GGCAGACGGGUGAGUAACGCGUGGGAACGUGCCCUUCAGUUCGGGAUAACCCAGGGAAACUUGGGCUAAUACCGGAUACGUGCGAGAGCAGAAAGAUUGAUCGCUGAAGGAUCGGCCCGCGUCUGAUUAGCUAGUUGGUGAGGUAAUGGCUCACCAAGGCGACGAUCAGUAGCUGGUCUGAGAGGAUGAUCAGCCACAUUGGGACUGAGACACGGCCCAAACUCCUACGGGAGGCAGCAGUGGGGAAUAUUGGACAAUGGGCGCAAGCCUGAUCCAGCCAUGCCGCGUGAGUGAUGAAGGCCUUAGGGUUGUAAAGCUCUUUCGUCCGGGACGAUAAUGACGGUACCGGAAGGAGAAGCCCCGGCUAACUUCGUGCCAGCAGCCGCGGUAAUACGAAGGGGGCUAGCGUUGUUCGGAAUCACUGGGCGUAAAGGGCGCGUAGGCGGCUUUAUAAGUCGGGGGUGAAAGCCUGUGGCUCAACCACAGAAUUGCCUUCGAUACUGUAGAGCUUGAGACCGGAAGAGGUAAGUGGAACUGCGAGUGUAGAGGUGAAAUUCGUAGACAUUCGCAAGAACACCAGUGGCGAAGGCGGCUUACUGGUCCGGUUCUGACGCUGAGGCGCGAAAGCGUGGGGAGCAAACAGGAUUAGAUACCCUGGUAGUCC
RNAcentral lists this ribosomal RNA (664 nucleotides) under uncultured bacterium. RNAcentral's name for it is "bacterial SSU rRNA". It matches the Rfam family "Bacterial small subunit ribosomal RNA", at positions 97 to 796 of the family's 1533-position model. The record is from RNAcentral.